ACGGGUGCGUAACACGUGAGCAACUUGCCCUAAGGUGGGGGAUAGCCGGCCCAACGGCCGGGUAAUACCGCAUAUGGCAUCGAGGUCACAUGGCCUUGGUGGGAAAGCGGCCGCAAGGUCGCGCCAGAGGAGGGGCUCGCGACGUAUCAGCUAGUUGGCGGGGUAACGGCCCACCAAGGCUACGACGCGUAGCUGGUCUGAGAGGAUGGCCAGCCACAUUGGGACUGAGAUACGGCCCAGACUCCUACGGGAGGCAGCAGUGGGGAAUAUUGCGCAAUGGCCGCAAGGCUGACGCAGCGACGCCGCGUGUGGGAUGAAGGCCUUCGGGUUGUAAACCACUGUCGGGAGGGGCGAAUACCUGGCUUCGAAUAGGAGACCAGGGGUGACGGUACCUCCAAAGGAAGCACCGGCUAACUCCGUGCCAGCAGCCGCGGUAAUACGGAGGGUGCGAGCGUUGUCCGGAAUCACUGGGCGUAAAGGGCGCGUAGGCGGCCGUGUAAGUCACUUGUGAAAUCCCGGGGCUCAACUCCGGGGCUGCAGGUGAGACUGCGUGGCUAGAGCACGGUAGAGGCGAGUGGAAUUCCCG
Molecule: ribosomal RNA, 586 nt
Filed under: uncultured Gemmatimonas sp.
Lineage: Bacteria; Pseudomonadati; Gemmatimonadota; Gemmatimonadia; Gemmatimonadales; Gemmatimonadaceae
Description: bacterial SSU rRNA
Rfam family: Bacterial small subunit ribosomal RNA
Source: RNAcentral